CCGGCCUCGCUAGGGUGCCACCCCAGAUUCCUGCUAAUAGAGUGCCCUAGGAAGCCACCAUAAUUUGUCACAAUUGGUAUGAGAUGAAAGCCUAUUUGCCAUCUUUGUAUGUACUCCCUACAAACCGUUUCGAUACCUCAUAGCCACAUGAUACUUUACAUGUCUCUAGUGUUUGCACUUAAACUCUAGCACACCUUCCCGCUCAGGAAACGGGAGAGGAGAAAGGUGGAGAAUUCACCAAGUAACCCCAUGAUAAGAACAGCAGCACAGCUCUGUUACCAGGCUGCCUUUUACCUCUCCCCCUCAGGCUUUCCAUCUGAUGGUCCCCUGGUGUGUGCCCUGGAACAGGAGCGAAGGCUCCGCCUCCCUCCGAAGCCACCUCCCCCUUUGCAGCCCCUUCUCCGAGGUGGGCAAGGGUUGGAAGCUGCUCUAAGCUGCCCCCGUUUUCUGCGGUAUCCACGGCAGCAUCUGAUCAGCAGCCUGGCAGAGGCAAGGCCAGAGGAACUGACUCCCCACGUGAUGGUGCUCCUGGCCCAGCACCUGGCCCGGCACCGGUUGCGGGAGCCCCAGCUUCUGGAAGCCAUUGCCCACUUCCUGGUGGUUCAGGAAACGCAACUCAGCAGCAAGGUGGUACAGAAGUUGGUCCUGCCCUUUGGGCGACUGAACUACCUGCCCCUGGAACAGCAGUUUAUGCCCUGCCUUGAGAGGAUCCUGGCUCGGGAAGCAGGGGUGGCACCCCUGGCUACAGUCAACAUCUUGAUGUCACUGUGCCAACUGCGGUGCCUGCCCUUCAGAGCCCUGCACUUUGUUUUUUCCCCUGGCUUCAUCAACUACAUCAGUGGCACCCCUCAUGCUCUGAUUGUGCGUCGCUACCUCUCCCUGCUGGACACGGCCGUGGAGCUGGAGCUCCCAGGAUACCGGGGUCCCCGCCUUCCCCGAAGGCAGCAAGUGCCCAUCUUUCCCCAGCCUCUCAUCACCGACCGUGCCCGCUGCAAGUACAGGUGGAUGGGGCAGCCUGGGGCAAGGGGAGGGGCCAGCCUGGGACCAGCAGAGUGGAAAAGCCAGAGGGACCAUGAAGCGCCAAAGCUAAGGAGCUCUCGGCCACCAUAAAACUGGGCCCUGAAGCAGCAGAGGGCUUUGCCCAGGGUGGUGGCACUAGACUGGGACAGAUUAGGAUGAGGUGCCGGGCCCUUCCUGCUACUGGUGUCCUUUCUCCUCAGUCACAAGGACAUAGUAGCUGAGGGGUUGCGCCAGCUGCUGGGGGAGGAGAAAUACCGCCAGGACCUGACUGUGCCUCCAGGCUACUGCACAGGUGAGCAAGGGGCAGGCGGCAGGCCCGGGGAGACGGAGCCCUGGCUAAGGCCGCCGGCCCUGCUCCCCUCCAGACUUCCUGCUGUGCGCCAGCAGCUCUGGUGCUGUGCUUCCCGUGAGGACCCAGGACCCCUUCCUGCCAUACCCACCAAGGUCCUGCCCACAGGGCCAGGCUGCCUCUAGCGCCACUACUCGAGACCCUGCCCAGAGGUAAAGGAGGCAGGGUGGGGGAGCCCUGGCCACCUUGCCCGCCAUGCCCUGAGCCACGUCCCUCCCCCUGCAGGGUGGUGCUGGUGUUGCGGGAACGCUGGCAUUUCUGCCGGGACGGCCGGGUGCUGCUGGGCUCGAGGGCCCUGAGGGAGCGGCACCUAGGCCUGAUGGGCUACCAGCUCCUGCCGCUACCCUUCGAGGAACUGGAGUCCCAGAGAGGCCUGCCCCAGCUCAAGAGCUACCUGAGGCAGAAGCUCCAGGCCCUGGGCCUGCGCUGGGGGCCUGAAGGGGGCUGAGGGGUUGAUGUGGGGUUCAGGAUGGCCCCCCCAUGGGGGGUGGAUGAUUUGCACUUUGGUUCCCUGUGUUUUGAUUUCUCAUUAAAG
Molecule: long non-coding RNA, 1904 nt
Filed under: Homo sapiens (human)
Lineage: Eukaryota; Metazoa; Chordata; Mammalia; Primates; Hominidae
Description: non-protein coding lnc-TMUB1-1:3
Source: RNAcentral